This 450-nucleotide ribosomal RNA is filed under the name uncultured bacterium. RNAcentral describes it as "bacterial SSU rRNA". It matches the Rfam family "Bacterial small subunit ribosomal RNA", at positions 354 to 796 of the family's 1533-position model. The record is from RNAcentral.
GUGGGGAAUUUUGGACAAUGGGCGCAAGCCUGAUCCAGCAAUGCCGCGUGCAGGAAGAAGGCCUUCGGGUUGUAAACUGCUUUUGUACGGAACGAAACGGUCCUGGUUAAUACCUGGGGCUAAUGACGGUACCGUAAGAAUAAGCACCGGCUAACUACGUGCCAGCAGCCGCGGUAAUACGUAGGGUGCGAGCGUUAAUCGGAAUUACUGGGCGUAAAGCGUGCGCAGGCGGUGCUGUAAGACAGGCGUGAAAUCCCCGGGCUCAACCUGGGAAUUGCGCUUGUGACUGCAGUGCUGGAGUACGGCAGAGGGGGAUGGAAUUCCGCGUGUAGCAGUGAAAUGCGUAGAUAUGCGGAGGAACACCGAUGGCGAAGGCAGUCCCCUGGGCCUGUACUGACGCUCAUGCACGAAAGCGUGGGGAGCAAACAGGAUUAGAUACCCGUGUAGUCC